Molecule: long non-coding RNA, 1706 nt
Organism: Biomphalaria glabrata
Lineage: Eukaryota; Metazoa; Mollusca; Gastropoda; Planorbidae
Exons: 2
Source: RefSeq, a predicted model, not a curated record
UAGACUUGUUGAUAUUGAAGUUGUGGAAACAGCUACAUCCACUUAAUUUCGUAGAAAACCGUUAAUCGUCUAACGGAACGUCGUCGGAGGUGACCUUGGUUUCACCUAGUCUACAUUGGACAGUUUGGUCUAGUGAAGCAACGUACAACAGCAAACUUCGUCGUACUACCAGAGUAGCAGCAGAAGCAGUGAACUAUUCUUAGAGAACCGUUAUUCGUCAGCCCAGAUCGAGUCAUCGUCAAGAAAGUAGUUAUUCGUCAGCCCAGAUCAAGUCAUCGUCAAGAAAGCCGUUAUUCGUCAGCCCAGAUCAAGUCAUCGUCAAGAAAUUCGUUAUUCGUCAGUCGUCCAGAUCAAGUUGCCGUCAAGAGACUGUUAUUUGUCGGUAGUCGUCUACACAAGUCAAGUCAUCGCCAGAGGAACCGUUAACCUAUUCGUCAGUAACUGUGUACACAAGGUCGUCGGAACUACACAUACGGUCAUUAACAGUCGUCGAAGAAACUGAAACAUUUUGCUGUGGCAUAUCAGGACAUCUGUGGCAUUACGUGGGAUACUGGUAGCACCGGAGAACAGAGUCGGAACUAGAAGAGAGGCAGUGGAAUUUGUUGUGAUCUAGCAUAUUCGGGAGUCCGAACAAAGGGAUCUUUCUUAUCAAAAGCUAAGUGCCAUUUUUCUUAUUAGUAUAUGUUUAGAUUGCCCUUAGAAAUAGAUUUUGUCUAAAUUUGGUACGUUAGCCUGAGUAAAAUCAGGUGGUGCGCCUUAAAACCCGUCGGGGUAGAAGACGUAAUUUAGAUGAAAAGCUAUAUUAUACGUUUAGAGUUGUAAUUUGUUUUGUUUGUGUAAACGUCAUAUCCGUUGUUGCCUGGUUACUUCGUGACGUUAUCAUUGUGUGCCAUAUUGUCACAUCCCAACCCAUAGCGAUAGUCUCAUUUUAAUUAUUUCAUUUGUUUAUAUUAUUUUAAAUUAUUUAUUUUUAUUAAUUUAAUUAGAUCUGUAUUUUUUUUUUCACUUAAUGAUAGAAAGUACGGGUAGGAUUCUUUUACUGUGAAUCAGACUAAAAUAAUUUUAGUUUGAGCGGUUAAAAUCAAAUAUGAUUUUGCCAUGAGAAUAAUGCCGAAACUGGCUAUGUAGUCAAACACUGUCGUCUGGCUAAAUUUAGAUCUGCAAAUUGUUGUACAUCUCUUUGGUACAAUUAAAUCAUCUAGACUCUAAUUUGAGAAUAUUAUUAAUUGAAAGAUGAAUGAAGAUUACUACCAGUAAAGAACAUUUGAGAUGUGUAGGACAUGCUCAUAAGAUGCCACAUUUUCCUCCAUGAUGAUUCUGGAAUGUUAUGAACUGUUAUGAACAUUGACAUGAAUAUGAGGAACUGUCAAGAUGAAGAUGUCAAGAUGAAGAGAUCAAGAUUUUAUGUUUGUGGUCUUCCCCUUAAAUUGAAAAUGCCCUUGUAAGACUUGACAGUAGUGGAAAAAUAUUGACAUAUUUUUUUUUCAAGGGGGGGAGGAAUCUGUUAGACACCUUAUUUAUAUAGGUUAGUUAUUUAGCGACGCACCAUAGAUGACGCAUAUUGAACGGGACUAGUGACGUUUGGGAUAUGUUGGGUUAGAGACCGAAAAAUCAGUUAGCGUUAGAACACUCCAGGGUAACGACGUGUUUAGUGACAGAGACUUCUACUGUGGCCUUUUAUCAGAAUAAACCUAUAUACAAUAGUU